This 278-nucleotide ribosomal RNA is filed under the name uncultured Oscillospiraceae bacterium. RNAcentral describes it as "partial 16S ribosomal RNA". It matches the Rfam family "Bacterial small subunit ribosomal RNA", at positions 65 to 339 of the family's 1533-position model. The record is from RNAcentral. Lineage: Bacteria; Bacillati; Bacillota; Clostridia; Eubacteriales; Oscillospiraceae.
AACGAGAGAUGAGGAGCUUGCUCUUCAAAUCGAGUGGCGAACGGGUGAGUAACGCGUGAGGAACCUGCCUCAAAGAGGGGGACAACAGUUGGAAACGACUGCUAAUACCGCAUAAGCCCACGGCUCGGCAUCGAGCAGAGGGAAAAGGAUUUAUUCGCUUUAGGAUGGACUCGCGUCCAAUUAGCUAGUUGGUGAGGUAACGGCCCACCUAGUCUUCGAUGGAUAGGGGUUCUGAGAGGAAGGUCCCCACAUUGGAACUGAGACACGGUCCAAACUCC